Molecule: transfer RNA, 77 nt
Filed under: Desulfosporosinus sp.
Lineage: Bacteria; Bacillati; Bacillota; Clostridia; Eubacteriales; Desulfitobacteriaceae
Also listed under: 2 other names
Description: tRNA-Arg
Rfam family: tRNA
About the family: Transfer RNA (tRNA) molecules are approximately 80 nucleotides in length. Their secondary structure includes four short double-helical elements and three loops (D, anti-codon, and T loops).
Source: RNAcentral
GCGUUCGUAGUUCAGCUGGAUAGAGCGUCAGACUUCGAAUCUGAAUGUCGGGGGUUCGAAUCCCUCCGGACGCACCA